GUGGGGAAUAUUGGACAAUGGGGGAAACCCUGAUCCAGCCAUGCCGCGUGUGUGAAGAAGGCCUUCGGGUUGUAAAGCACUUUAAGCGGGGAGGAAGGGCUGAGGGUUAAUAACCUUCAGCAUUGACGUUACCCGCAGAAUAAGCACCGGCUAACUCUGUGCCAGCAGCCGCGGUAAUACAGAGGGUGCAAGCGUUAAUCGGAAUUACUGGGCGUAAAGCGCGCGUAGGCGGUUGUGUAAGUUGGAUGUGAAAGCCCCGGGCUCAACCUGGGAAUGGCAUUCAAAACUGCACGGCUAGAGUAUUGGAGAGGAAGGUAGAAUUCCAGGUGUAGCGGUGAAAUGCGUAGAGAUCUGGAGGAAUACCGAUGGCGAAGGCAGCCUUCUGGCCAAAUACUGACGCUGAGGUGCGAAAGCAUGGGGAGCAAACAGGAUUAGAUACCCGGGUAGUCC
Molecule: ribosomal RNA, 450 nt
Filed under: uncultured bacterium
Lineage: Bacteria
Description: bacterial SSU rRNA
Rfam family: Bacterial small subunit ribosomal RNA
Source: RNAcentral